UCUCUGAUAGUAUAUCGGUUAGUACACGCGCCUGUCAUUCCAACGACCGCGCGAAAGCUGGGUUCGACUCCCAGUCAGAGAG
This 82-nucleotide transfer RNA is filed under the name Crepidotus variabilis. It matches the Rfam family "tRNA". Rfam says of the family: Transfer RNA (tRNA) molecules are approximately 80 nucleotides in length. Their secondary structure includes four short double-helical elements and three loops (D, anti-codon, and T loops). The record is from Rfam by way of RNAcentral. Lineage: Eukaryota; Fungi; Basidiomycota; Agaricomycetes; Agaricales; Crepidotaceae.